This 1215-nucleotide long non-coding RNA is filed under the name Danio rerio (zebrafish). Its description in RNAcentral is "si:ch211-77a11.3 (ENSDARG00000105566.2)". Lineage: Eukaryota; Metazoa; Chordata; Actinopteri; Cypriniformes; Danionidae. The record is from RNAcentral.
CCGGCCACGCACGACAGCACCGGCCUGAGGGACGGAGACAGGCAGCCGAGGCUGGUGAAGGACAGCAGCCACACCAGGCUGGCGAAGACCAGGAUCAGGACGCUGUGUUUGAGUUUGAGAGUGGGGACGAGAGUGAGCAGACCCACGCAGCCCAGCACAAACAGCAACCUGCCCAUCAUCUGCAUCUGAUGGUGCUCCUCUCCCCACUGCAACAAGCGCACGACCAUCAAAUCCCCCAAGUAGCAUGAUGCUGGCAAAGACAAAAGCCAACAUCUGCUGCUCUCCCUCUUGGUCCGCCUCAGGUAGAGGGUGAGGAAGAAAUACGCGCAGCCGAUGCUGAAUAAAGGACUGACGGACUGGGAGAAAUCCAAGAGGAAAGUCCGCAGCUCCAAGACGCCGUGUUCACUCUGAAAGCUCCUGGAAACGAAACAGGAGAGCGCCAGAACUGCCAGCGCUCCCACGUAGAUAGCCGAGCCGCGGAAUAGUUUGGACUUGAGGAUAUCCUCGUUGCAAAACCUGCAGACGUUGAAUAAAAAGCCCCUCGGAUGGUCUUGUUUUAACGGAGUGACGCAGCUCUUCACAUAGCCGUUCCUGAAGCUCUCCGCGCUGUUUGCAUUGCCAACAACACCAUCGUGCUGCUGCUGUCUGAUUUUACUGUGCAAAACCUCUCCUUCCUCCCGCACAGCCAUGUUGUCCUCCUUCGGUGCUCUUUAAACUUUCAUUCCUCCGAAAUAAAUCCUACGUGUGUCAACGUUUCACUACAUGACGGCGAACGCGCUCCAUGGUCACUCAAACGUGCUCAGGCAUUUUGGCCAGGAGGAAAAGAGGCUGAAAUGUUGUUGUUUUUUAGCAGACCCGAGCUCUAUGUCGCCGUCUAGGUGCGACAAUUUGUAACAAUGACUAGAGCGCGAGACACAGACGCGCGCGCGCGCUCUGCAGCGCAACCAAACCGCCGAGCUCUUUAUUCACCUCUCUAUUUGUCGAGUUUUUCUACAUUAAUCAAGGUGUUUAAAUAAUACUACACUAUAUUGGUAGAUAGAAUGUAGCUCGAGAUCUUAUUAAAUUAUACAGUCUAUCUAUGCCCUGUGUGUGGGAGUGAGAGUGUUAGAAAUUGAAACUUCAGCGUCUUGUGUAACACAUUUAUUGUUUUUAUUGUUAAUACGACUCUGGGAUAUGAUUGAAUAACAUGAUUUUAGUAGCUUAAUGGAAAAAGUA